RNAcentral lists this transfer RNA (65 nucleotides) under Marmota monax (woodchuck). Its description in RNAcentral is "tRNA.Ala". The record is from RNAcentral. Lineage: Eukaryota; Metazoa; Chordata; Mammalia; Rodentia; Sciuridae.
GUUGUGGCUCAGGGGUAGAGCACUUGCCUAGCACAUGUGAAGCCCUGGGUUCAAUCCUCAGCACA